RNAcentral lists this transfer RNA (73 nucleotides) under Nanobdellota archaeon. RNAcentral's name for it is "tRNA-Gln". It matches the Rfam family "tRNA". Rfam says of the family: Transfer RNA (tRNA) molecules are approximately 80 nucleotides in length. Their secondary structure includes four short double-helical elements and three loops (D, anti-codon, and T loops). The record is from RNAcentral. Lineage: Archaea; Nanobdellati; Nanobdellota.
AGCCCUAUAGUCUAGCGGUCAAGGAUACGGGACUCUGGAUCCCGUGACCCAGGUUCGAAUCCUGGUAGGGCUA